AAAAUUAUUUGGGAUAAUCAAGAGAGCUCAGAUGAAAGAGUAAUAGCCAGAAUCGAGCAUUUGCUUGUCAUUCAUUUAACCGGUACUCACUGAACAAAUGGAAAGCACUUGAAGGAGAAGAGAGAUUCCUUUCCUUUCCCUAGACUUCAACCUUUCUACUUCAUAAGACUAGACCUCUAAAAUGUUUAUGUACCCACUUGCCUAGACAAACAUUCAUAUAAUCACACUGGUUGGUGCCAGUGUGCGUGUGCUGUUGUUGGGGAUGUUGUUGAUGGGGAAAUGGUACAAAAGGUGGGCAGAGAGCAGAACUGUUACCUAGAGAUGGAGAGAAAUUGGGGCAACUCUCAUUAGUUUAUUCAUUCAUGGGUUCACUCAUUGAUUCAUUCCAUCUUUAAUUUAUUUCAUGUAACAUAUUUCCUGAGAACCUACUGUGUUGCAAGCAUUGAGCUAGCACAGCUAUCCUCCUUUCAGAUAGCUAACUAGCCAGCUGAAAAUGAGUUGCUGUAAUUUUACAGAGGAAAUAACUCAAAUAACAACUUGUAGUAUUUUCAGUACUUUUAGUAGUUUGCUUCACUAACACAAAAAUGUAUUUUUUAAAAAAGGGAAAAAAACUGAGUGGUGCAACGAAAAGCAAAAAUACUUUCCUAAUUACAGAUGUCCAUCUGUGGGUCUAUUAGUCUUAAAUUACCAGUGAUUAAAUUCUAAUUGUAGCAGAGAAACAAGCUUCUAGGCAGUUAAAAAGAAAAACAACAAAACCAAACAGUGAAACAGAGUACAAUGAAUACGGGUAAUUUAUCUAUCUCUACAUUUAAGCUAUAUCUAAGAGCGAGCCUGUCUCCUUGCACACCUUUUCUCUGCUUUCAAGAAAUAAGACAGUGUUUUCAAUGAAGUUAUGAAUCUCUUAUCCAAACAGCGAGCUCGAGUAUGAAAUAUGCAUGUUAGCAAGUGAUAAACACUUUGAAAGGAAAUUUUGAUAAAUUUUCUCAUUUGAAGCCAGUUCCCUUUAAGAAGCUAGACAUAUGUUUUAUGUGUAAUUACAUAACAACAAUUCUAUAGAAAAAAAUAAAUCUCUUCUCCAGAGUUAACGAGAUCCUUUCUUUGCAAGAAGUAGAGAGUAGAGUGCAUUCCUGCUCUGCAAUCCUGAAUUUUGCUCAGGGGCAUGUAACAGUAUCUGAGCCUGCAAGGGCACCCGUCUUCCUACCAAUUUCUCAGCCCAUUACUAGAGUACCUUAGGCAUCAGCUGAGGUGCCUUGUCUUUUUCAACUCAGUGGAAUGGACUUGAGCCUUAUCCCACACGUGGUGGUAACCCCAUAUUCCUCAUUCUUACCAUAAAUUCUAACAGGGAAGGGGAAGGUGAGGAUGGUAUGUGCUUUUCCUGGCCAAUUCUGACUCUGAAUUGCUUCUUCUAAGGUUACGUUAUUAAUUGUGAUGCCUUCCCACAAGAGCUGUGUCUGUACUGUGCCACAUAACCCCUGAAGCUGAAUAAAGAACUUUCUCCUUGAUUCCCCCAGCCCUCCAAAAACAUCAGCAGGUGAUGAGGUCCCAUUGUAAAUGACCCAAGGACAAACAGCUCAUGACUUCAAAGGAGGCCUCUUCAACCCAGGGCAAAUUCAGGCCUUCAUUCCAGGGGUCUGUAAGCAAGUACUGAGUGAAGAGAUAUCCUAAAAUCAAUCGUUCCUCUUUGCCAACCCUGGAUAAUGGCAACAACUUCUUUAGUGGCAUGCUGCAUGCUCUGUUUGGUCAUGUCCAGAGAUACCCAAGAUAAAGAAGUUUGAUAAAUAUACACAUUAACUCAGCAAAAAUAACAUGGUUAUUUUCAUGAAUAUUGCACUUGGGCACAUCAGCAAAAUUCAAAAGUGAUAAAAGGUGAGCAUUGUAUAUGAAUUUUGCAUAUGUACAUGGUAAUAUUUUGACACUAGGAACAAUAUUUUAAGUUGAAAUGUCUAUAUUUUAAUUUAGUAAAGAUUUGGCAAGCCCCUGCUAUAUUAGCAAUAUCAAGAUAAUGAGAUAAAGAUCCCACUCUCAAUAAAAAUAUAAAAUUAUACAUGUUUCUUGUGCCCAUCAUCAGCCAUCGUUAUGAACAUCACUCUGAACUGUUAUGCACAAUAAGAUAACUAGAGGGUUAAAAAUGAAGGUUUUACUGCUCACGUUGAAUAUUAUUUUUAGAAAAGAAAGUCAUUUCUAUUAUAGAGGAGGCAUUGUGGUCUACUAUAAUGGCAAGCAUAUUAAAAACAAUGCAUUCCUGGUGAAAUAAUGCUUAGAGCAUAGUCAACAAAAUAAGCAGGCUGCUGAAAAAAGUUUAAAUGUCAUAUUUCAUUAAUUCUAAGACACAUUUCCUCCUGCUUUUAGAUCUCUCAAAUUGAAAGGCAUCUUACAACCUAUAGAUGAAAUCUAGUAAAUAGAAUAAGAUAAAAAGUAUCUUAGUUUCUUUCCUUGGGUUGUUUGCCUUUCUUUUAAGGGAAGGUUUGUUUGACUGUUGUGUUUUGUUUUUAACAGCUUGUUUAUGAAUCUUCCCUUUUCUAGCGUUAAUGAUUGUGUGAGCCUAGAAUUUAAAUGGUACAAAACUCUGAUUUUUGUUUUUAUUCUUUGUUCUGACCAUUACUGAGGGGAGUACAGGACACUGAAGCAGAAACAAGGUCUGAAAGUGGCAAUGUGGACCUUGCUCCUCUGUGGAGGACUCUGGUACCUGUCUGUGUCUGAAUCUUGCCACUUCCACUUAUCUAGCUUUGCGAUCUGGAAAAGAUUAACUUUAGCCUCUCUGUGCCUCAGUUUCUUCAAGUGCUGAAUAAUGGUAUCUACCUCAUAGUGCUGCUAUGAGGGUUGAGUUUAAUAUAAGUAAGGCCUUAGAAUAAUGCCUGGCACAUACUAAAUAUUCUCUCAACUUUAGCUGUUACCAUUGUGCCUCACUUCC
This 2911-nucleotide long non-coding RNA is filed under the name Homo sapiens (human). RNAcentral's name for it is "HSALNT0046716". Lineage: Eukaryota; Metazoa; Chordata; Mammalia; Primates; Hominidae. The record is from RNAcentral.